CUUUCAACAACGGAUCUCUUGGUUCCAGCAUCGAUGAAGAACGCAGCGAAAUGCGAUAAAUAAUGUGAAUUGCAGAAUUUUAGUGAAUCAUCGAGUCUUUGAACGCACAUUGCGCCCCUCGGUAUUCCGGGGGGCAUGCCUGUCCGAGCGUCAUU
This 155-nucleotide ribosomal RNA is filed under the name Hypotrachyna dactylifera. Its description in RNAcentral is "5.8S ribosomal RNA". It matches the Rfam family "5.8S ribosomal RNA". Rfam says of the family: 5.8S ribosomal RNA (5.8S rRNA) is a component of the large subunit of the eukaryotic ribosome. It is transcribed by RNA polymerase I as part of the 45S precursor that also contains 18S and 28S rRNA. The record is from RNAcentral. RNAcentral also lists the same sequence under 1 other name. Lineage: Eukaryota; Fungi; Ascomycota; Lecanoromycetes; Lecanorales; Parmeliaceae.